GCCUGGGUGGCUUAGUCGGUUGAGCGUCUGACUUCGGCUCAGGUCAGGAUCUCGCGGUCCGUGGGUUCGAGCCCCGCGUCGGGCU
Transfer RNA from Felis catus (domestic cat), 85 nucleotides. It matches the Rfam family "tRNA". Rfam says of the family: Transfer RNA (tRNA) molecules are approximately 80 nucleotides in length. Their secondary structure includes four short double-helical elements and three loops (D, anti-codon, and T loops). NCBI's taxonomy places the organism in Eukaryota, Metazoa, Chordata, Mammalia, Carnivora, Felidae. The record is from Rfam.